GCCAAAUAAAGCCCAACCACCACCACCAGACCCAACAAGACAAAACAAAACAUUUUACCAGAAAAGUAAUUGAGAACAAACCUCAAACUUGACGCUAUAGAGACAGUACUGCAAAGGAAAGAUAACAUCACACACCUUUAAAGCAAAGAAAAGCAGAGAAAAAAACACGUACCUUUUGCAUCACCGUCCAGCCAGACUAACCAAACAAGAAGCACCCCAGUAUGUAACCCCGAAUGCAGGUGAGCUAUUACUUAGCAGCUCGCACGGAGCCAACUCGUUUCUGUAGCAAAAGAAUGAGAAGACUAAGUAAUAGAGGCGAAAAACCUAUCGAACCUGCCGAUAGCUGGUUGCCUGAUAAAUGAAUAUAAGUUCAGCCUCGAUUAACAAACAAGUACCACCCAGACCCACACUUUCUCAAUCGAGACAUAGUCAAUGAAGGUACAGCUCCAUUGACACAGGAUACAACCUACCUUGCAGAGAUAGACAAAAUAUUGCUCUUCCCGUGGGCCUUAAAACAGCCACCACAAACUAUUACGUUACAGUAACCACACCAAAAAUACAAAAACACAUGUCAAACUCUCAAACUACUAACCAGGCCACUCUAUCCAAUAGAAGUAACCAUGCUGAAACCAGUAACAAGGAACACCCUCUUAAAACAAAAGCACCAAAAUACACCAGACCAAAAUACCUAUGAAACACAAUAAACAAACCAUAACACUAACUGUAGACCCAACACAGGAUUGUUUACAAGAAAGGCACCAAUCUUCAAAAGGAACUCGGCAACCAAUCUUUCCAACUGUUUACCAAAAACAUAGCCAUUAGAUAAGCAAGUACUAAAGGUAACGCCUGCCCGGUGAGUAUAACUUUAACGGCCGCGAUUAAACGUGCAAAGGUAGCGCAAUCACUUGUUCCAUAAAUCGGGACCCGUAUGAAUGGCCACAUGAGAAAGAAACUGUCUCUUGAAGAUAGCCAGUGAAACUGAUCUUCCUGUAAAAAAGCAGGCAUGAAAAAGCCGGACAAAAAGACCCUGUGAAACUUAAAAUAAAACACUAAACCCAAUAGUGCCUACUUUUAGUUGGGGCAACUUAAGAAACAUUAAACAUCUUAAAACUUUCCAAACCAACAAGUUUAAACACCAAAAAUAGACCCGGUAACACCGAGUGACGAACCAAGCUACUCCAGGGAUAACAGCGCUAAAUUCUUCAAGAGUCCAUAUCAACAAGAAUUCUUACGACCUCGAUGUUGGAUCAGGGUACCCAAACAGUGCAAAAGCUGUUGACGGUUCGUUUGUUCAACGAUUAAAAUCCUACGUGAUCUGAGUUCAGACCGGAGCAAUCCAGGUCGGUCUAUAUCCGCUAAUAACACUUCAACUAGUACGAAAGGACCGAUGAAGUAGGGACAACCCCACGGGGGCACCCUCCAUAAUGCGCCCUGAAAAAACUCAAGGGCCAAACAACAAACCACCACAGCCCAAAAAAAGGGCUUGCACCG
RNAcentral lists this ribosomal RNA (1491 nucleotides) under Pseudotrapelus sinaitus (Sinai agama). RNAcentral describes it as "16S rRNA". It matches the Rfam family "Bacterial large subunit ribosomal RNA", at positions 452 to 2837 of the family's 2925-position model. Lineage: Eukaryota; Metazoa; Chordata; Lepidosauria; Squamata; Agamidae. The record is from RNAcentral.